GAUGAACGCUGGCGGCGUGCUUAACACAUGCAAGUCGAACGGGAAACCUUUUAAUGAAGCUUCGGCAGAUUUAGCUGGUUUCUAGUGGCGGACGGGUGAGUAACGCGUGGGUAACCUGCCUUAUACAGGGGGAUAACAGUCAGAAAUGACUGCUAAUACCGCAUAAGCGCACAGGACCGCAUGGUCCGGUGUGAAAAACUCCGGUGGUAUAAGAUGGACCCGCGUUGGAUUAGCUUGUUGGUGGGGUAACGGCUCACCAAGGCGACGAUCCAUAGCCGGCCUGGGAGGGUGAACGGCCACAUUGGGACUGAGACACGGCCCAGACUCCUACGGGAGGCAGCAGUGGGGAAUAUUGCACAAUGGGGGAAACCCUGAUGCAGCGACGCCGCGUGAAGGAAGAAGUAUCUCGGUAUGUAAACUUCUAUCAGCAGGGAAGAUAGUGACGGUACCUGACUAAGAAGCCCCGGCUAACUACGUG
Molecule: ribosomal RNA, 478 nt
Filed under: uncultured bacterium
Lineage: Bacteria
Description: partial 16S ribosomal RNA
Rfam family: Bacterial small subunit ribosomal RNA
Source: RNAcentral